Molecule: ribosomal RNA, 2866 nt
Filed under: human gut metagenome
Description: bacterial LSU rRNA
Rfam family: Bacterial large subunit ribosomal RNA
Source: RNAcentral
AUAAGUUACAAAGGGCGUACAGUGGAUGCCUAGGCACCGAAAGACGAAGAAGGACGCGACUACCUGCGAAAAGCUGCGGCGAGUUGGACGUAAACUUUGACCCGCAGAUGUCCGAAUGGGGAAACCCGAUAUGCUAACUACAUAUCAUACGAGCGGUGAAUACAUAGCCGCCGUAAGGCAACCCAGGGAAUUGAAACAUCUUAGUACCUGGAGGAAAAGAAAGAGAAUCGAUUCCGUCAGUAGCGGCGAGCGAAAGCGGAAGAGCCCAAACCAAGAAAUUGGGGUUCGGGGUUACAAAGAAUCAUGACGAAGAAGAAGAAGUGUUUGGAAUGGCACAUCUAAGAGGGUGAAAAUCCCGUAUUCGUAAGAGAGUCAUGGUCGUAACUACCAGAGUAGGGCGGGGCACGUGAAACCCUGUCUGAAUGAGCGGAGACCACUCCGUAAGGCUAAAUACUCUUCGGUGACCGAUAGUGAACCAGUACCGUGAGGGAAAGGUGAAAAGAACCCCGGGAGGGGAGUGAAAAGAAUCUGAAACUGUAUGCUUACAAGAUGUCAGAGACCGUUAAAGGUUGAUGAUGUGCCUAUUGAAGAAUGAGCCGGCGAGUUAUGUAUACAUGCGAGGUUAAGGAGAAGAUCCGGAGCCGUAGCGAAAGCGAGUCUGAAUAGGGCGUUCAGUAUGUGUAUGUAGACCCGAAACCCGACGAUCUAGCCAUGAUCAAGAUGAAGUAAGGGUCAAACCUUAUGGAGGUCUGAACCGACGUUCGUUGAAACGACCGCGGAUGAAUUGUGGCUCGUGGUGAAAUUCCAAUCGAGUCGGGUAAUAGCUGGUUCUCCUCGAAAUAGCUUUAGGGCUAGCCUCAGAACACUACAUUUUGGAGGUAGAGCACUGAAUGAAAGCGAGCCGCGCCAAGCGGUAUCAAUUUCAAUCAAACUCCGAAUUCCGAGAUGCUUAUUCUGGGAGUCAGACUGUGGGAGAUAAGUUUCAUGGUCAAAAGGGCAACAGCCCGGACCGCCAACUAAGGUCCCUAAAUUCGCGCUAAGUGUUAAAGGAUGUAGAGAUACUUAAACAGCUAGGAUGUUGGCUCAGAGGCAGCCAUCAUUUAAAGAAUGCGUAACAGCUCACUAGUCAAGUGUCUCCGCGCCGAAAAUUUACCGGGGCUAAGCGCGAUACCGAAGUUGCGGAUAUUUCUAAAGAAAUGUGGUAGGGGAGCGUUCCAUUAGCAUAGAAGCCAUACCGGAAGGAGUGGUGGAGCGAAUGGAAGUGAGAAUGCCGGCGUAAGUAACGAUAAGAGGUGAGAAUCCUCUUCACCAUUUGACUAAGGUUUCCUGGGCUAGGUUCGUCCACCCAGGGUCAGUCGGGACCUAAGACGAGGCCGAAAGGCGUAGCCGAUGGACAGCAGGUUAAUAUUCCUGAACCCGGUUGUGUGCGAUCGCAGUGACGAAAGCGGUUAGGUUUACCCACGAAUGGAAGUGUGGGGAGAUAGUGAUAAGCUGUCGGCUAGAAUCCGACACCAAGUGAAACACCGAAGUACGAAAGGGGUGACCUGAGUAGGAAGUAGCUGAUACCGAUUUCCAAGAAAAGCUGCUAGCUUAAGCACAAUCGGCCCGUACCGAGAACGGACACACGUGGUCAAGGAGAGUAUCCUAAGGUGAGCGAGAUAACUGUUGUUAAGGAACUCUGCAAAAUUACUUCGUAAGUUAGCGAGAAGAAGUGCUCCGUAAAAGGAGCCGCAGUGAAGAGGCCCAAGUAACUGUUUACCAAAAACACAGCUCUAUGCUAAGUCGUAAGACGAUGUAUAUGGGGUGAAGCCUGCCCGGUGCCGGAAGGUUAAUAGGAGAGGUGAAAGCUUUGAAUUGAAGCCCCGGUGAACGGCGGCCGUAACUAUAACGGUCCUAAGGUAGCGAAAUUCCUUGUCAGGUAAGUUCUGACGUGCACGAAUGGUUUAAUAAUUUGGGCGCUGUCUCGACAGCAGACUCGGUGAAAUCUUAAUACCGGUGAAGAUGCCGGUUACCCGCGACUAGACGGAAAGACCCCAUGGAGCUUUACUACAACUUAAUAUUGAGUAAUUGCAAAUCAUGUAGAGGAUAGGUGGGAGGCUAUGAAGUAAUGGCGCUAGCUAUUAUGGAGCCGCCCUUGGAAUACCACCCUUGAUUUACAGUUAUUCUAACUUCCUCCCUGGAUGGGAGGGAAGACAGUGUUAGGCGGGUAGUUUGGCUGGGGCGGCCGCCUCCCAAAUAGUAACGGAGGCGCCCUAAGGUACCCUCAGUAUGGUCGGAAAUCAUACGUAGAGCGCAAAUGCAUAAGGGUGCUUGACUGCGAGACACACAGGUCGAGCAGGUACGAAAGUAGGGAUUAGUGACCAGGCGGUUUCAUUGUGGAAUGGCCGUCGCUUAACGGAUAAAAGCUACCCUGGGGAUAACAGGCUGAUCGCGUCCAAGAGUUCACUUCGACGACGCGGUUUGGCACCUCGAUGUCGGCUCAUCACAUCCUGGAGGGGCAGUACCUUCCAAGGGUUAGGCUGUUCGCCUAUUAAAGUGGUACGCGAGCUGGGUUCAAAACGUCGUGAGACAGUUUGGUCCCUAUCUGUCGUGGGCGUAGGAAGUUUGAAAGGAUCUGACCCUAGUACGCAAGGACCAGGUUGGACGUAACUACGGUACACCGGUUGUUUCGCCAGAAGCAUAGCCGGGUAGCCGCUUACGGAUCGAAUAAACGCUGAAAGCAUCUAAGCGUGAAAUCGUCCUUAAGAUGAGACUUCCGAUUCUAACGAAUUAAGAUCCCUUCUAUGUUAGGAGGUUGAUAGGUCACAGAUGUACGCAUAGUGAUAUGUUUAGUCGAGUGAUACUAAUAGAUCGAUCACUUAUUUCA